AGGCUGAGUGGCAGAAUGGAUUAUGCGGUGGCCUGCAAAGCCAUUAAUGUCGGUUCAAUCCCGGCCUCAGCUUA
Molecule: transfer RNA, 74 nt
Filed under: Candidatus Azoamicus ciliaticola
Lineage: Bacteria; Pseudomonadati; Pseudomonadota; Gammaproteobacteria; Candidatus Azoamicaceae
Description: endosymbiont of Plagiopylea sp. tRNA-Cys(gca)
Rfam family: tRNA
About the family: Transfer RNA (tRNA) molecules are approximately 80 nucleotides in length. Their secondary structure includes four short double-helical elements and three loops (D, anti-codon, and T loops).
Source: RNAcentral